AUAAACAAAACAAAAGCAUGCGUCGUUGUGUUCAACAACAUCGAUCGCACGAAGAAAUCUAAAGUUUACCCUAUUAAACUUACGAAACUCUAAAAUAAUGAGUGAAUCUUACAGGUAAGUGUCAUUAUUCUUUCAAAUACCCUGUAUGCAUGCUACUAAACUAAGUCCUCAUGCCCAAAUUAUCGUGAUUCAAAAUAAACAACCUCUGAAUUGUUAGUUAUUUAUACAUACAAUAGCUCUGUUUUACGGAUCUUGUGUUUAUAAUAGACCUAUUGUUAUAAAAAUCUAACUCAAUUAAAUAUCUCCCAUACAGUUUUUAAUUGAUACUGACAAGACUAACCAACAUAUUUUAACUUACUGUCAACCCCUCACCUUUUAAAUAAGUACCUAUCCUAAUCAUUUGGUCUCCAACUCCUAUAUUUACAUAAUUUUAUUUGAAUUAUACCUAUAUCAUUAUUUGUUUUAUUUCAGGACCAAACAUAACAAUGCAAACCCAACUACACUCUUUGUUGAACUAAAACCCAUGAUAAACCACUGAUCAAACCAUCCACUGUGACAAAACAUUCACAAUCCCUCACUACUUAUAUACCAAAGUUACUAUUCUACAAUAAGAUAUGACAUACUUUGUGAAUGCUGAUGAUGAUGAUGUUCUAUAUUUGACAACCAAACUCUGAGACUAUAUACUAUGAAGUAAACAUCCUGACUCAGGUGAAGAAGUGUAUUGCAACCGCGCUCAAAAUAGGAACAACUAAACUACCCGCAUAAUUCUUAACUUACAAAGAAUAUAUUGACACUAAAUGAGGUCCUAGCCUACUUUAUAUGGUCUAACACUUUAUCAACAACAGUUUACUUGAUCUACAUUAAUUGUUUUCUAAAUUUAUUGUUAUGUCUGACCGCUACCCUUUCAUCACAAAAUAUUUUUUUAUUAUUUUUUCUUUCAAAUGAGAUUAUUGUUAAAUUUUCUUUUCUUUAUUGACUGUAACUCAUACUUGUAUUUGUUUAAGGAAAUGUCCGAUAACAUCUGCUACUGAUUGGCUCUCUGGAAUUUGAUAAUUAGACAUUUGGGCUUUUCCGGUUACUCUAAAUUAGGAUGAUAGCAUAGAUAGUGUUACAGUUCUAUCCCAACUCCUAUGAUCAAUGUUGUAUAAUAUAUUAUCUACUCUUUCAAACAUUCGAGUAUAGUAAUUUUAGAGCCUAGUUUUUAAGCACAUAGUCGAUGACAAGCAAAGAUCCGAUCCAGAAGCACAAUCAACCACAUCAACAAACCAAAAAACCCGCACAACAAAACUCAUACAAUCAAUACCAAACCGAACCAACCCAGCCAAAAGGAUAAUUAAUAAUUAUAGACUAGUUGCUAUAAGUACCGAUUCCCCCGCAACCAGGCCAGUCCAGCCCGGAACCAACUAUACAAGCUCCGCCACGCAAACUCCUCGAUCCACCGAUGCAGCCGACCGCACCUCCAGACCAAAAUCCCCACCCCUCAUCUACCUGGGCCAGAAUUUCUUUAUCUAUUCUAAUCAUUUCAGGUUGUUCAUAAGGACUAAAAUGCGCCGCGUUUUCGUUACAUUUGUUUUUUUUUUUUUAAUAUAAUUUUUGAUUUUAAUAAAUGUUUUACUGCUUUUACCUAAAAUAAAACCAUAUCAUUAUUUUACCUACAACCCCUAUUCACUUAAAAUUCCCUAAUCAGCUACA
Molecule: non-coding RNA, 1692 nt
Organism: Plutella xylostella (diamondback moth)
Lineage: Eukaryota; Metazoa; Arthropoda; Insecta; Lepidoptera; Plutellidae
Source: RefSeq, a predicted model, not a curated record